RNAcentral lists this ribosomal RNA (472 nucleotides) under uncultured bacterium. Its description in RNAcentral is "partial 16S ribosomal RNA". It matches the Rfam family "Bacterial small subunit ribosomal RNA", at positions 28 to 507 of the family's 1533-position model. The record is from RNAcentral.
GACGAACGCUGGCGGCGUGCUUAACACAUGCAAGUCGAACGCUGAAGCUGGGUGCUUGCACUGGGUGGAUGAGUGGCGAACGGGUGAGUAAUACGUGAGUAACCUGCCCUUGACUCUGGGAUAAGCCUGGGAAACUGGGUCUAAUACUGGAUACGACAUGUCACCGCAUGGUGGUGUGUGGAAAGGGUUUUACUGGUUUUGGAUGGGCUCACGGCCUAUCAGCUUGUUGGUGGGGUAAUGGCCCACCAAGGCGACGACGGGUAGCCGGCCUGAGAGGGUGACCGGCCACACUGGGACUGAGACACGGCCCAGACUCCUACGGGAGGCAGCAGUGGGGAAUAUUGCACAAUGGGCGGAAGCCUGAUGCAGCGACGCCGCGUGAGGGAUGACGGCCUUCGGGUUGUAAACCUCUUUCAGCACGGAAGAAGCGAAAGUGACGGUACGUGCAGAAGAAGCGCCGGCUAACUACGUG